Molecule: long non-coding RNA, 647 nt
Organism: Parasteatoda tepidariorum (common house spider)
Lineage: Eukaryota; Metazoa; Arthropoda; Arachnida; Araneae; Theridiidae
Source: RefSeq, a predicted model, not a curated record
CCCCCCUCAGCAAUUUAUAGUUAGUAUCUCGAGUGGGGCAGUGUUACUUUAUCUCAGUAUAUAAGCAGUACACAGCUGAAUAAUACCACAACAUUCAGUGAGUUCUUGUUCAUCUACAACAGGCGUAAAAAAGCCGUUCUAGCCAAAUAAUAAUCGCCAUGCAUUCUCGAGUUAUCACAUGCCUUAUGCUUCUUUGCUUGCUCUUGAGUCCCUUGAGUGUAGAAAAAUCCCAGGCAUUAGCAGUUGAUAAGAAGAAGAUUAUGAAGGCUUUAUGGCUCGCCAAACUUGCCCUGAAAAAGAAGAAGUUGUUGGUGGUACCUCUUCCUCUCCCUGUUCCUGUCAUGGUGGAGAAAAAGCAUCAUGAGCAUCAUAUUGAACAUCAUGGAAUGCAUCAUGGGUAUUGAUGACAAUCACCAUCAAAUCAAAUUUGUGUAUAUGUUCACCCUUAUAACGAAUAAUCAUCAUUGAAACAUCUUAUCAUUACAAGACAUUGACAUGCAAUCAUUUGACUUAUCAUUACUUAAAAGCAGCGUAGGAUUCUUGUUUUUUUUUAAAAAAAAAAAAAAGGAAAACUAUUGUAAAUACUCAUUUCAUAUCAAUAUAAAAUUGUACAAUAAGGUAAAUAAAGUUCGUUGAAAAUUGUUGAA